UUGUUCCAGGGUCACUGUCAGUAAUGGCUGAUCCCUGGCCAUGACCCCACUCUCUGAGGGUCUCUCAGGGGGAGUGGGAUAUCCAAAAAAACAAAUGUCCAAUUCACAUAUACUUGUGUGAAACACCUUUUCCAUAUUAUGAUUUUUUUCAAAUGUUAUCAUAAUUAGGUGGGUGCUUACAUUUGACAAAAUCAUAAUAUGGAAAAGGUGUUCCUACUAAUUAUUUGCCUACUUAAGCAAUGUCACUAAGUUAGUGUAAUUUUGACGAAACUGUCACGUUAGCCUAUGAGGUGCAACCCAUGUCUAGGGCACAAAUAAAUACUGGAUGCAGCUAUGGUAGCUAACUCGUGUCUGACUACUACAGUGUACUCACUAGCAGCAACAAACUUAACCAACCCAGGGCCAUAGCGUAACAUGUCACAGUUGGUUGUAUAGUGUAACGGCGUCACCGGCUUGAAUCCAAUCCAAUCGGGAGCCAGUCAGUCUACAUCUGUAUAGCAUAGAAAUAGCUUCAAAACGGGAUUACGUUAUUUCUUAAACUAUUUUAGGGAUGAUGACAAUCGUUGACUCAAUUAUACAAAAUGUACAGUUUGGUGCCAGACAGAUCCCCUGGUUAUGAACGGAAUGCCGGGACUUACCAGAACGAGCAAAGCUUGUCAGGCAGGAUCUCAGAGUAAAAGUGUGUCAUGCAACACAAAUACCCGUGUGGCACCUCCUCCGUUGAUGCCAGAAUCUCCCUGGACUCCUCAUGAAAAGGACAUCCUGAAGUCUCUCAUAGUGACCAGAGUUACUGCCCUGAUGACAGACGGCUUCGUCAACAACGAGAGGCCCUCCCAGCCGUCACCACCUCAUCAGAUUGCCUGUUGCAGUUGUUGGAGAGAUGUACAGAUGGUAGCAGAACAUGCAGCAUAGUGAAGACUUGACUUCACUGUGAGCAUAACUAUGAAUGGAACAGUCAGCCACAUGUUGGCAAGUAUCCGGUUAGACAAACCUGUCAUCGACAACAGCUUUUACAGGCUCAUCAUUUGUACAAAUACACAAGGUAACACACUUCAUUACUUUGAUACAUUUGAAAACCCAAUAGUGAAACAUAAUGUAAAUAAAUUGGCAUUAUUUGUUUGCUUAUUUUCUACUUCUUAGAUGCAUAUAAUGUCCAGGUCAUAACCUAACCUGGUAGAACCAGCCUGAGCCCUGUGUUCACCAUAUAAUGUCUAGGUCAUAACCUAACCAGGCGGAACCAGCCUGAGCCCUGUGUUCACCAUAUAAUGUCCAGGUCAUAACCUAACCUGGCGGAACCAGCCUGAGCCCUGUGUUCACCAUAUAAUGUCCAGGUCAUAACCUAACCAGGUGGAACCAGCCUGAGCCCUGUGUUCACCAUAUAAUGUCCAGGUCAUAACCUAACCAGGCGGAACCAGCCUGAGCCCUGUGUUCACCAUAUAAUGUCCAGGUCAUAACCUAACCUGGUAGAACCAGCCUGAGCCCUGUGUUCACCAUAUAAUGUUCAGGUCAUAACCUAACCAGGUGGAACCAGCCUGAGCCCUGUGUUCACCAUAUAAUGUCCAGGUCAUAACCUAACCAGGUGGAACCAGCCUGAGCCCUGUGUUCACCAUAUAAUGUCCAGGUCAUAACCUAACCAGGUGGAACCAGCCUGAGCCCUGUGUUCACCAUAUAAUGUCCAGGUCAUAACCUAACCAGGUGGAACCAGCCUCAGCCUGAAAUUAAAUAGAAAGGUGAACACAGAGAUCAGGUUGGUUUCACCAGGCUGAUCAUAACCACCAUUGAUAAUGUAAUCAGUGCUGUGUGGUGUGUGUGUUUGUGUGAGAGACCAACCAGUAUAUUUGAUGGGGGGCCAGGAGCUGAUCUAUGCUGCUAUUCCCAUCAAUGGGGCUCUGGCAAAGACCUCACCUCCAGCCUCACCUCUUGCCUGCUCACCAAUGGUCGUCGAUGACAACAGAAUUUGAUGGACUGGAGAUGGUUAUGCCAGCCGGCAUCCUCAGUCAUUUGAUGGGGAGACCAUAAUAGGAAACAUGUAUGGAGCCAGCACAUGGAGACAGACGGGCUUGAUACUGAUGUCUCUGAAUGGAGAGAGACCUGGCACUCGGUCAAUGUCUCUCUGAGGCUGUACUUCCUCAUGGACACCCAUCACCAUGGCCACUGUCACCAAGGUGAUCCUCAUUGUUGCAGAGGAAGAGGAAGAAAAAAAAGAGAGGAAGACAAGUACCCUGUUCUGGAACCACAAUGAAGUCAUAGUCAUAGAUUAAGGGACAUUUGUGCUUUUUUUAAAACAAUUAUUCAAUUCACUGUUUGUCCUUCUACCAACCAAGAAGCCUUUGUUAAUGACUGAGUCAUACACUGGGCAACAUUGUCAGUCAGAAGAGCAAAAGGUCAUUUUACAAUACAACAAUUAACAAUCCAACAAUUUAAAUACUUUUUAUUAAUAUGGAUUUGCCGUUGGCAAUGUUUUUUUUAAAUGCAUGAUUUACAGCCAGCUAGUCUUUUAGAUACAUCAGUGUGUUGCAGACAACAUACACCUCACACACCUCCUCCACACACACUCUGUAUGACAUACUAAGCAUGGCAGCCUGUCCAACAAAGUAACACACACCUUCCCUUCUCUGCCAUUGCUCAUUGUUCCUGAGUACCACAACAGAACAGAAAAACAAGACAAAUUAAAUGUGCAUCAUGUGGCCAGGUCAGUGAGAAGAACAGGUUAUUAUUAUUACUGAACUGGAGUGAUUCUUUCUGACCAGAGAUACAGAAUUAUGGCCCAAUCAAUCAUCAGUUAGGAGAAAGAUGUUUUGGUCCCCACACAAUGCACACUACCCCAUGAUAGGUUAAUGUGUCUGAUGCAGUUUUCUUGACAGAUCAAGGGCUAGAGUGCAUUGAGAACAAGGACAAAAAAAAAAAACUAUUAUAUUCAAUGCAGGCUUCUAGUGCUAUAUCCUACUUCCUGUUUCUCAUAGCAUCAGGCCUCACGAUUGGCUCAAGCAUACCAUAUAACUGAUGUGAAUGAUGAUAAAAAAUCAUGGUAUAGACCAUUACUUACUGGCCCUUUGAGACUCUUCACUUCAAUACAACAGUGGAUAAACA
This is a long non-coding RNA of Salvelinus namaycush (lake trout), 3090 nucleotides long. RefSeq lists it as uncharacterized. The transcript has 7 exons. The record is from RefSeq and is a predicted model, not a curated record. NCBI's taxonomy places the organism in Eukaryota, Metazoa, Chordata, Actinopteri, Salmoniformes, Salmonidae.